CCCCACUAUGCUCAACCGUAAACCUUAACUUACACCCAAAUCGCCAGGGAACUACGAGCUGACGCUUAAAACCCAAAGGACUUGACGGUGCCCCAUAUCCACCUAGAGGAGCCUGUCCUAUAAUCGAUAACCCCCGUUCAACCUCACCACUCUUUGCCUAUCAGUCUGUAUACCUCCGUCGUCAGCUUACCACGUGAGCGCAAUUCAGUAAGCGAGAGAGUCUCCGCUAAAACGUCAGGUCAAGGUGCAACUUAUAGAGUGGGAAGAGAUGGGCUACACUCUCUAACUUAGAACAAACGAAAGACUACUCAUGAAACCUUAGUCAGAAGGCGGAUUUAGAAGUAAACAGAGACAAGAGCGCUCCGUUUAACACGGCCCUGGGGUGUGUACACACCGCCCGUCACCCUCUUCGAAGCUUCCUAAAUAGUAUUUAACACAAUUUGUGCUAUAAAGAAGAGGCAAGUCGUAACAUGGUAAGCUUACCGGAAGGUGUGCUUGGAAA
This 502-nucleotide ribosomal RNA is filed under the name Scinax sugillatus (Quevedo snouted treefrog). RNAcentral's name for it is "partial 12S small subunit ribosomal RNA". It matches the Rfam family "Bacterial small subunit ribosomal RNA", at positions 785 to 1522 of the family's 1533-position model. The record is from RNAcentral. Lineage: Eukaryota; Metazoa; Chordata; Amphibia; Anura; Hylidae.